UACAGGGGGGGCAAGCGUUGUUCGGAAUUACUGGGCGUAAAGCGCGUGUAGGCGGAUGAGCAAGUCUGCUGUGAAAGCUCCUGGCUUAACCGGGAGUGGUCGGUGGAAACUGCUCGUCUGGAGGGCGGUAGAGGUAGGUAGAAUUCCCGGUGUAGUGGUGAAAUGCGUAGAGAUCGGGAGGAAUACCUGUGGCGAAGGCGGCCUACUGGGCCGGACCUGACGCUGAGACGCGAAGGCGUGGGGAGCGAACGGG
RNAcentral lists this ribosomal RNA (253 nucleotides) under uncultured bacterium. RNAcentral's name for it is "partial 16S ribosomal RNA". It matches the Rfam family "Bacterial small subunit ribosomal RNA", at positions 524 to 776 of the family's 1533-position model. The record is from RNAcentral.